AAUAGAUACCCCGGUAGUCCACGCCGUAAACGAUGGAUACUAGCUGUUCGGUAGCAAUACUGAGUGGCUAAGCGAAAGUGAUAAGUAUCCCACCUGGGGAGUACGAACGCAAGUUUGAAACUCAAAGGAAUUGACGGGGGCCCGCACAAGCGGUGGAGCAUGUGGUUUAAUUCGAUGAUACGCGAGGAACCUUACCAGGGCUUAAAUGUAGAGUAACAGGACUGGAAACAGUUUUUUCUUCGGACACUUUACAAGGUGCUGCAUGGUUGUCGUCAGCUCGUGCCGUGAGGUGUCAGGUUAAGUCCUAUAACGAGCGCAACCCCUGUUGUUAGUUGCCAGCGAGUAAUGUCGGGAACUCUAACAAGACUGCCGGUGCAAACCGUGAGGAAGGUGGGGAUGACGUCAAAUCAUCACGGCCCUUAGUCCUGGGCUACACACGUGCUACAAUGGCCGGUACAGAGAGCAGCCACCUCGGCAGGGGGGANCGAAUCUAUAAAGCCGGUCACAGUUCGGAUUGGAGUCUGCAACCCGAUCCA
Molecule: ribosomal RNA, 536 nt
Filed under: uncultured bacterium
Lineage: Bacteria
Description: bacterial SSU rRNA
Rfam family: Bacterial small subunit ribosomal RNA
Source: RNAcentral